RNAcentral lists this ribosomal RNA (492 nucleotides) under uncultured bacterium. RNAcentral describes it as "partial 16S ribosomal RNA". It matches the Rfam family "Bacterial small subunit ribosomal RNA", at positions 29 to 507 of the family's 1533-position model. The record is from RNAcentral.
AGUGAACGCUGGCGGUAGGCCUAACACAUGCAAGUCGAACGGCAGCACAGUAAGAGCUUGCUCUUACGGGUGGCGAGUGGCGGACGGGUGAGGAAUACAUCGGAAUCUACUUUUUCGUGGGGGAUAACGUAGGGAAACUUACGCUAAUACCGCAUACGACCUACGGGUGAAAGCAGGGGAUCUUCGGACCUUGCGCGAUUGAAUGAGCCGCUGUCGGACUAGCUAGUUGGCGGGGUAAAGGCCCACCAAGGCGACGAUCCGUAGCUGGUCAGAGAGGAUGAUCAGCCACACUGGAACUGAGACACGGUCCAGACUCCUACGGGAGGGAGCAGUGGGGAAUAUUGGACAAUGGGCGCAAGCCUGAUCCAGCCAUACCGCGUGGGUGGAGAAGGCCUUCGGGUUGUAAAGCCCUUUUGUGGGGAAAGAAAAGCAGCAGGUUAAUACCCCGCUGUUCUGACGGUAACCAAAGAAUAAGCACCGGCUAACUUCGUG